UUACGGUCACAUCACGUUGAAACACCGGUUCUCAUCCGAUCACCGAAGUUAAGCAACGUUGAGGCUCGUCAGUACCUAGAUGGGUGACCACUUGGAUGUGUGGGU
Molecule: non-coding RNA, 105 nt
Organism: Acanthosepion pharaonis
Lineage: Eukaryota; Metazoa; Mollusca; Cephalopoda; Sepiida; Sepiidae
Source: the annotation of a GenBank genome assembly